RNAcentral lists this ribosomal RNA (431 nucleotides) under Ymerana sp. 19 PB. Its description in RNAcentral is "partial 16S ribosomal RNA". It matches the Rfam family "Bacterial large subunit ribosomal RNA", at positions 1959 to 2597 of the family's 2925-position model. Lineage: Eukaryota; Metazoa; Annelida; Polychaeta; Terebellida; Ampharetidae. The record is from RNAcentral.
GCGUGAUAAUUUGUUCUUUAAUUGUGGACUGGAAUGAAUGGAUUAACGUGGGUCUGACUGUCUCUUUUUUAGAAUUGGAAAUUGAUUUUUAGGUGAAAAAGCCUGAAUUAAAAUAAAAGACAAAAAGACCCUAUAGAGCUUAAUUAAAAAUAAAAUUUUGUAAAAUUAUUUAUAGUUUUUAUAAGUUUUAAUAGAUAUUUAACUGGGGCGGUUAAGGAAAAUUUAUAAACUUCUUUGAGCUACUUAAGGUAUUGCUUUCCUAUUUUGAAAUGAUCCUUUAAAGACUAGAGGAAAAGUUACCUUAGGGAUAACAGACUAAUUUUCUUUGAUAGUUCUAAUUAACAAGAGAGUUUGGCACAUCGAUGUUGGCUUAGGAUAGCCUAAUGAUUGCAGAAGUUUUUAUGGUGGGUUUGUUCAACCUUUAAAUUCCU